Molecule: ribosomal RNA, 291 nt
Filed under: uncultured bacterium
Lineage: Bacteria
Description: partial 16S ribosomal RNA
Rfam family: Bacterial small subunit ribosomal RNA
Source: RNAcentral
AUUGAACGCUGGCGGCAUGCCUUACACAUGCAAGUCGAACGGCAGCACGGGAGCAAUCCUGGUGGCGAGUGGCGAACGGGUGAGUAAUAUAUCGGAACGUGCCCAGUCUGGGGGAUAACGUAGCGAAAGCUACGCUAAUACCGCAUACGAUCUAUGGAUGAAAGCGGGGGAUCGCAAGACCUCGCGCGAUUGGAGCGGCCGAUAUCAGAUUAGGUAGUUGGUGAGGUAAAGGCUCACCAAGCCGACGAUCUGUAGCUGGUCUGANAGGACGACCAGCCACACUGGGACUGA